AUUGAACGCUGGCGGCAGGCCUAACACAUGCAAGUCGAACGAGUCGCGGGGGUGUGAGUAAUGUCUGGGACAGCGCCUGAUGGAGGGGGAACACUACUGAAAACGGUAGCUAAUACCGCAUACCAGCGGCUGUGCCCAGAUGGGAUUAGCUAGUAGGUGGGGUAAGGGCUCACCUAGGCGACGAUCCCUAGCUGGUCUGAGAGGAUGAACAGCCACACUGGGACUGAGACACGGCCCAGACUCCUACGGGAGGCAGCAGUGGGGAAUAUUGCACAAUGGGCGCAAGCCUGAUGCAGCCAUGCCGCGUGUAUGAAGAAGGCCUUCGGGUUGUAAAGUACUUUCAGUGGGGAGGCGUUACCCGCAGAAGAAGCACCGGCUAACUCCGUGCCAGCAGCCGCGGUAAUUC
This 406-nucleotide ribosomal RNA is filed under the name uncultured bacterium. RNAcentral's name for it is "partial 16S ribosomal RNA". It matches the Rfam family "Bacterial small subunit ribosomal RNA", at positions 30 to 526 of the family's 1533-position model. The record is from RNAcentral.